Molecule: ribosomal RNA, 445 nt
Filed under: uncultured bacterium
Lineage: Bacteria
Description: partial 16S ribosomal RNA
Rfam family: Bacterial small subunit ribosomal RNA
Source: RNAcentral
GUGAGGAAUAUUGGUCAAUGGACGCGAGUCUGAACCAGCCAAGUAGCGUGAAGGAUGACUGCCCUAUGGGUUGUAAACUUCUUUUAUAAGGGAAUAAAGUGAGGGACGUGUCCCUUUUUGUAUGUACCUUAUGAAUAAGGAUCGGCUAACUCCGUGCCAGCAGCCGCGGUAAUACGGAGGAUCCAAGCGUUAUCCGGAUUUAUUGGGUUUAAAGGGAGCGUAGGUUGACAUAUAAGUCAGCUGUGAAAGUUUACGGCUCAACCGUGAAAUUGCAGUUGAUACUGUAUGUCUUGAGUGUACAAGAGGUGGGCGGAAUUCGUGGUGUAGCGGUGAAAUGCUUAGAUAUCACGAAGAACUCCAAUUGCGAAGGCAGCUCACUGGGGUACAACUGACACUGAGGCUCGAAAGUGUGGGUAUCAAACAGGAUUAGAAACCCCAGUAGUCC